GGUAAAAUUAUCACCAAAUCCCCAAAAAACGAUUCUAAUCAUAUUCCAAGCCAAAACCCUUCCCCAAAAUCAUAUCUCCCUUCAUUCAUUUACAAGAAAAUCUCAAUCCAUAAUCAUCAUUUUGAUCUUCCACACAUUAUCCGCAAAAUGUAAUCACCAGAAUAUCACCCAAAUCAACCAUUUGAUUUGUACUUUCAGUUGUUACUAUAAAACCCCAAUCUACGUAGAAAAUAUCAAAAUCUCCUUGUUAAAAUGUAUACCAUGGCUGCUGAUACAAACACAUCUUCAUUGGGAUAUGUAUGGCUUGUGAGAAAUGUCAAAGAGACUCCAGUCGCAGCCGACCAGCAAUGACGUUUGUCCAUGGUUAACAUCAAGACCCAGCAAGCAGGCGAAUACUCCAAGUCCUGUGAGAUUAUCGAACCCAAGAACGAAACGAUUAAUACCCCUACUCGUCGCAUUACCCAUUCUAUUUACAUAUCCUCACAGUCGAAAGAUUUCGCCAGUGGUCCAUCUGCUACAAGGGUCGUGAACACCAACUCCUAAAAUUUGGGAAAGAUUAUCCAAAUGAAGGACAGUGAUAAGAGGCUCAUUGAAGAUGCACUUGCAAAUCCAAGCAACACAAAGAAAAAGUUUGGAGCCCCACACAAACACAGGUAUUUUUUUGGUGUCUUAACAAAUAUUUUGGACCCUUAUACCAGUUACGAUAGCAAAUAUUUAUGAUUAUCAAUUUAUACAUGAUUUCAUUCAAGUGAAUAGAUAGAGGGGUGUGAUUGUCGAAACCUGACUUCUUGAUUUCUUGUGUAAUUGAAUACCCCAUUAUAUUUAUGAUUGAUGCCUAGGAUAUGGUCAUUUAUUGCACAAAUAUUAUUGCUUAUGAUUUUCACUUAGAAUAAUGAAAUUCCUAAGUUGUAUACGAACACACAACGAAGUAGAGUGUUAAGCUGUUAUAAUGAGUCUCAUAUAUUAUGUUGUAGUAAUUAGUUUAAGAAGUAAUUAUUUUCAGUCAUGUGCAAUAAAAGUCCAAUAAAUAAAUAAUUUUCAUGAAAUUUUGAUCACUGUAUUACGUUUUUCUCAUGGGAUUUUAUUAUUGAAUUGUAUGGAUUUAUUGUUUUGCUUUGGAUCAAUGCUUUAUGAUGCACAUGUUUUCAUAUAUGAACGAGGGGUGAAUAGAGUAUUUCAGUCAAAUGCAUAAUAUUUUCAAUACGGAUGAAGUACAUUCGGAUACAACACCAAACAACACAUAUACAUGCCUCAAUUUGUGAUAUGUCAAUGAUGGAAAUAUAAUCAUUCAAAUUUGGAAUUUGUUUUGAAAUAUCAGAACAUAGAAUGUGUGAAUCAUUGCACCAAUUUAUAUGCACAUCAAUCUCCUUUGUAGGGUUCAAUCUAUACUCCGUUGGUAUAUUUGGCAAGAUCUCUACCACUCUUACAUGUAAUGCAUAGACCGUCAUGCAUGCAUCUCUACGCUUAAGCUCCAAAUAGAAAUGUAGAGAGCCGUAAUUUUUUAUUCGGCAACUCCUAAAAUUUGGGAAAGAUUAUCCAAAUGAAGGACAGUGAUAAGAGGCUCAUUGAAGAUGCACUUGCAAAUCCAAGCAACACAAAGAAAAAGUUUGGAGCCCCACACAAACACAGGUAUUUUUUUGGUGUCUUAACAAAUAUUUUGGACCCUUAUACCAGUUACGAUAGCAAAUAUUUAUGAUUAUCAAUUUAUACAUGAUUUCAUUCAAGUGAAUAGAUAGAGGGGUGUGAUUGUCGAAACCUGACUUCUUGAUUUCUUGUGUAAUUGAAUACCCCAUUAUAUUUAUGAUUGAUGCCUAGGAUAUGGUCAUUUAUUGCACAAAUAUUAUUGCUUAUGAUUUUCACUUAGAAUAAUGAAAUUCCUAAGUUGUAUACGAACACACAACGAAGUAGAGUGUUAAGCUGUUAUAAUGAGUCUCAUAUAUUAUGUUGUAGUAAUUAGUUUAAGAAGUAAUUAUUUUCAGUCAUGUGCAAUAAAAGUCCAAUAAAUAAAUAAUUUUCAUGAAAUUUUGAUCACUGUAUUACGUUUUUCUCAUGGGAUUUUAUUAUUGAAUUGUAUGGAUUUAUUGUUUUGCUUUGGAUCAAUGCUUUAUGAUGCACAUGUUUUCAUAUAUGAACGAGGGGUGAAUAGAGUAUUUCAGUCAAAUGCAUAAUAUUUUCAAUACGGAUGAAGUACAUUCGGAUACAACACCAAACAACACAUAUACAUGCCUCAAUUUGUGAUAUGUCAAUGAUGGAAAUAUAAUCAUUCAAAUUUGGAAUUUGUUUUGAAAUAUCAGAACAUAGAAUGUGUGAAUCAUUGCACCAAUUUAUAUGCACAUCAAUCUCCUUUGUAGGGUUCAAUCUAUACUCCGUUGGUAUAUUUGGCAAGAUCUCUACCACUCUUACAUGUAAUGCAUAGACCGUCAUGCAUGCAUCUCUACGCUUAAGCUCCAAAUAGAAAUGUAGAGAGCCGUAAUUUUUUAUUCGGAUAGGGGACAUAUCUACAUCAGCAAUGUACUCAAUCUUCGAGAUUAUUAUAUUUGGAAAUAUUAUAUUUUAAGAAAUAGGUAGAUUCGAGAUUAUUUUACAUUUAAUCAAGUAUUUUUGGUUUUGUAAACGUAACAUAGUAAAUGAUGAAAUAAUUUUCAGUAAUGAUACAAUUACCAAAAUUUCCCAGGACUAAAUUUUUGCUACAAACUGGAAGUCCAAUUUACAUUUUGGGUGGGCUUUUGAAGUUCGGUCACAGUCCAGAAAGGCCAACUUGAAAAAGAUGAUUAUUGCUUGUCACUUUGUUUGCUGAAAAUGGUAAGGAGCACCAAAUAAAUAUGGGAAAAGCUCAUAUGUCAUCAUCUGGGUGCAUGAACAGGAUAGGCAUGAAAGAUAAGUGCAGUCAAUGGAGAUUAUAAUUAGGCUUUUGUGGUGCUUAAGAAGUUUCUUGAUCUUUAAUUAUCAACAAUCUUGACUUUACCAACAUUAUUGCCACUUGCCGAAUGCACCAAUAAUUGGCCAAACAUGCUCUUUUACCUUAAUUCAAUUCUAAGCACUCAAAAUGUUAAACUUAUUAUUAAGGGAAUAAUUUUAAUUAUGGAAACUUGGUGUAAGCAGUGUCAGCAUUAUUGACUGUUGAGAAUCUUUAAAAAUCAACUGUAUAAAUUCUUUCUCGAUCACUGGGCAAUUUGCAAAACGAAAGUGGUCAGUAAUUUGCAACCUCAUAUUAUUAUGAGAGUUGUCUCUUCUAAACAUUUUCGAACCAAAUUGCUCAUCCAUGAAUAUAUUGUGUUCGUGAGAUAAAAAUGCUUUUCCAUUCGGUUAUUUGGAUGACUAAAAUGUGGGCUUCAAAUCAUGAGCCUAGAGCUUGUAUAGCAAGUACUGUUGUUAAGACAUAUUUAGCCCUUGUUUGGUGGGAAUUAAAAUUUGAAUUUUAGUAGAUUUUGAUAAAAGUUGAUGAAAUGUAUAGUUGAAAGUUAUGGGUCUCAUGAAAUGUGUGGUUAAAAUUAACUGCUAACUUUAACUUAGAUUAAAAUCUAGAUUUUAAUUUUCACCAAACAGUGGCCUAAUUAAUUGUAGCAAUUGGAGAGAACAGAUUCAAUUUGCAUGCUCUCACAAUAAUGUAGUCUUUUUUUCUUUUUUCUUUCUUUUUUAUCCACUUGAAAUUGUAUCCACAACGAACAUGAAAGCAUACCAUGAUUUGUGCCUUUGCUUUGUUAGGCAUUGCAUGAAGAAACUGUCAAGUGGUGGAGCUUAAUUAUUGUUGCUACGCAGAGUCCAUUAUUAAGGUUUAAAAUAUCAACGUAAUAAAUUACUAUAAGGUGAAAAAUGACAUAAUCUCACAUUAAGGUGAACUUUCAUUAAUUAUUUUUAUGUACAUAUUUUCUUUUGGCCAUUUUAUUACUCUCAACAUUAUAGAGUUAAGAGUUUCUAAUUUCCAACACAAGCCAAAUUCUUUGCAAGAAAUUCGUGAACAAGCAUGCAAAACACUCCAAAAUCCUAUUUUAUGCACAUUUUGUUUAUUCUUGUUGGUAAUCACUUUUGAAGAAAAUGCCACUUCAGAUAGAGAUGCUGAUGAUCGAUGAAUUAGGGAUAAUUCCACAAAUUGUCAUCUUGUAUAUUUUCAUCAGCAGGUGUGUCUUCACCAGCAAGGUCAUGGCGCGGGGGGCUAAUAAGCAUUCCUUCAGCCAUGUUCUUAAGAACAUUAGGCAUAUCAAAGAUCAAAUCCUCGUCGAUGAACUCAUUUAUGUCCAAAUUUUCAGGUGGCAGCGCUGGAUUUUCCACACUCCCAGUAGCCUCGGCCGUCGCAGCAGUUGCGGUGGCUGCACUAGCAGUAAGAUCAUAGCGCGGAGGGCUAAUAUCAAAGAUCAAAUCCUCGUCGAUGAACUCAUUUACGUCCAAAUUUUCAGGUUGCAGCGCUGGAUUUUCCACACUCGCAAUAGCGUCGGCCGCCGCAGCAGCUGCCGAGGCUGCACUAGCAGCAGCUGCCGCAAUGUCCUGCGGCGAGGUGGAGGCCGGGACAGGCAAAGUGGAAGCCGAGUUUGGAAAGUUAAGCUCAGCUUCUUUACCUUUGAGAGCAAGCGCCGCCACAUCAUAGGCCAACGCCGCCAUUUCUGGAGUAGGAUAAGACCCAAGCCAUAUUCUAUUUGGUGUCCUCGGCUCCCGGAUUUCAGAUACCCACUUUCCACUACUUUUUCUGCGCCUCACCCCACGAUAAACCGGGUGGCCGCCAAAAUUGGCAGCUUCGGUUGGUGGACCACCACCCGUUGCCGCCUGUGACUGCGAAGUACUGCUAGAUUGUGACAUUGUAGCUGUAAUAUUUGUACUGCAUGUCGAUGAAAUUGACGUUUCAGGGGAAAGACUACGGCUGCCAUUUAUGGAAGUACGAUUUUAGGGUGGGUUAGUUCUAACUCAAGAAUAUGGAUAUGGUAGAUAGAUCCUAAGUGCAAACCAGUUAAUAAAAAUGAUAAGGUAAUAAGGAUCUGGGGUGUAACCCAGAAACUUGAUGGAUUUGUGGGUUGGAUGGCGAUUUUUGCAGAAAUUCACGGUUUUGUUAAACUCAUCGACAGUUUGCAUAUGUCAAUUGGGAAUUAUUUAAUACAGUUUUAGGAAGUGAUUUGAUUUGAAUGACGGGAGCUCUUCCUGUUCCAUUCCAUUUACAAGAAUAAAUGGAAUGUAUGUACAUCAGGGAAAAAAGGCAUGUAAAAAAGGCAUGUAUAUGACAAUUUUAUUCCAUUUAUGUUUGUCCACUGAAAUCAAAUCAAAACCUAACUAGUGUCAAACUAAUAACGCAGUAAAAAAUAAAAAAUUAUUAAAAAAAAAAUUAUAUAUAUAUAUAUACACACACACACACACACACACACACACAUAUACACAAUACCUAUUUAUUGUUUAUAAAUAUAAAUGAAUAGUAAUGCCUGACACACUUAAAUAUAUAGCUUUUUUUUGUACUAGUGAUGGCAUUGGGAGUACCAAUUCCAUUACUAUAUUGACUUUAAUAGAUGAUAAGUUGGUCCUAAAUUUUAGCCAUAAAAUAUACCUUUUACUUUUCAAAUGAAAUCCAUUUUUAUAUCUGUCCAGAUGCUAACGUCCGUGUGUCGAUGGAAAAUAUUUGGAAACUACCCAAUCUACGACUGCAUUCUAAAUUUUUGACGAAUCCAUGACAUCUUGCAUCAAGGUGAAGUCGAAGGAUCGACUUGUGCGACCUCCGAUACGGCGGUGAAUGAGGUUACACGCAGAACACUAGGUUGCCUGUAAGGCGGAAUUCUAGGACAGUCUUUGGAGAUAGAAUAUUCCAGGCUAUUCUGUGGACAUAUCGAUGGUGUUCAUUUUCUGUUCUGAACAAUAGACUGAUUUUGGACAAUUUAACCCUUGGUCGUUUGGUUGUCGAUUCUGCAUUGCUGCAACUUUAGUGCAAAUAGUGGUGGCCUUAAAGUUGUAAAUUUCUCAUCUUUCAUUAAACUUACGGACCAAAAGAUUAGUCAGUUCGGUAUCGUGUUCUUUCUCUAUUAUUAUUACAAUUAAGGCUAUCAUAUGGUGUAACCAUUUACUUUUCGAAGUAAUAAGCUAUCUCAUGUGGUGGCUAUUAGGUUUUGGGAUUAACAUGUGGGAUAACCAAUGCUUGUUGCUAGAACAUAAGAAUUAUUUGCCGAUUAAUUUUGAUAUCUUCAGUUUUUGGUUUUUUUAUUGUUUUGUGAUUUCUAUCUUUUGUUGCAUUGAUUAUCUUGUUAAAAUUAUCACCUAGACUUUACCCGUUUAACCAUUCUCUUAAUCAGAGAUCGUGAAUUGUAGAAAACCCUAAGCAUCUAGAACAAUAUACAUUAUGGCCCUAUGGAUGUAUUGUGCGUGACUCAUUCCUCUACUUUACUUUGAAUAAAAAUGAUAACAAGUUUUGAGAUGGCUAUUUUUAAUGGUAAAUGUGAUAGUUUUGAGAUGGCUAUUUUUAAUGGUAAAUGUGAUUUUUUGAUUUGAUAACAAAAAAUAAAAUAUAUUUUUAGUCAACAAAAAAUUUCUAAAGUAAUCGAUGGAAUUUAUUCUGCAACUUUAACUGAAGAUGAGAAAAAAGAAAAGGUGAAUUGACUUAUAAUUCUAUUUUAUUUUAUUUUUCACUUUAAGAAAAGUUGGUAAACACGAUUCUCCUUUAAAGUUUUGGAAAAAAAUUAAAGGAUCUUUAUUUGUUAAAAUCCACUCCAAAUUUGCUAUUUCUACUUGAAAGUUUUUUCAAUUUCAAAAUUGACUCUUCUAAAUAUCUGGAUGACUGUCUGGAUGCUUUUAACAAAUUGGUUCAAGACUUGCUAAUAAUUGUGAGAAAGUGUCUGAAUAAGAUAAAGCUUUUAUUUGUUGAAUACUAUUCCUAAUACUUAUAAAGAUGUGAAAAAUGUUAUUAUGUAUGAGAGUGAAACUUUAACACCUGAUAUUGUUAUAGACCCCUUAAGAAGUAAGGAUAUGGAGUUGAAAGCAUAAAAACAAGGGAGAAGAAAUUGUAAGGUUCACAUGACGAGAAGUGGACCUCAAGCUUGGCAUGGUAGAAAUCUAGAAAAUCAAGACAGUGGUCACUCGAAUGGUGACUCGAGUAAUGAGAGUGAUAAAAAGAAGGGUAAAAGUUGGAGAUUUAAGUCGAGAGCAAACGGUAAAUGUUAUCGCUGCGGUCUGGACAUCUUAUAAGAGGCUGUCCUAAAAAGAAGAAUAAACAGAAAGAAAAUGUGAGAGGUGAGGCGAACGUUGCUACUAUGUCUAGUUAUAACUCGAGUGAGGUUAAUUUAAUAAUAAAUUUUCUUGUGCCUAUUAUUGUAUUUACAUUUGCAUGUGAAAUCCUAUUCGCACGAAUGAUUGCUUGAUUUUGAUGUAUUAUUUAUGUUACAUCUCAUUAUGUUUAGUGUGUACAUUUGUAUGAAUUUAAGAGUGAUCGUGUUACUAUGUGUAACAUGCUACAUGCAUAGUGGUUAGCAUUGCUAUUGUGAGGUUUGAUACUGGGUGUGAUAACCACUUUAGUAGGUGUAUUAGUAGUAAGUAGGUCAACUUGUAAUAUAAAGAAUAGAUACCUAAGGGGUAUAUUAGUGACAUGUACGAUGGAUGUGUAGGGUUGUUAUUUUGACCACAAGAGGUAAGAUGAGGUGAUUAAAUAUUUUGAAAUAAUCUAUCUAUUAGAAUCCGGAACGGGUGAAGUGAGAGGGUGACACUUCAUCACCACUGUUCGGUGAAGACCCAUUAUUUACCUAGUUUAAGGUGAAAAGGUGAUAGAGGAACAUCCCACUGACUUGUGAUCUUUAGUGGUUUACUAGUUAAGCAUAAGGAGUGACCGAUAUAGUUUGCAUCAUAUGCAAGGAGAGGAUAGGUCUGUUAUCUAGAUACGAGCUACGUGGAUAGUGGUAUAGGAAAAUUAUGGUGGGAUCUUUUCUUGCGAUAAUUUAUGCAUUGGUAGCAUAUGUAGAUCAUUUAUUUGCCCUUAGUGAGCACAUGUAGUAGGUAUGUAUGUGUUUCAGAUUCAAGACACUGGUAAGGUCUGUGAUUUUCAUUUUUAUUUGGAUACCUUGAUUAGGCAAGUGUUAACUUGGUGUUGUUUGCUUGUAGGUUUAUUAGGUAUCAAGGUGAAAAUUUGUUUGACUUUUUAUUGAUACCCAAUAAGUCUAGGCCCAUGAUGUUUGUAUCGUUAAAGUUUAAUUUCAUAAACUUCGACCGAGAAUUGAAAUAAGGGAGUAAUAGUAUGAGAUGGGACCCAAAAUUAGAAGCUCAAUCUAUUCACUUGGCGAUGUUCCGUUUGUACAUUGUUUGGCCCAUUUAUUUCCCUAAACAUUGUAUAUGAGUUGAUUAGUGUGUUUUUACUCACAAGUUUUACACAAUUUUAAUUUCAUUAUUUGCUAAAUCUUAUGAAUAUAGAACCUUUUUUUACGUAUUUGCUAGCAUUGUUUUAAAAGUUAGGUAAAGUGGUGUAAAAAAGAUGCUAAAGUGAACAAAGAUGCCAAAGUCAGGGAAAAGAACCAGCAAAUGGCGCCUAGGUACCAUAUUUUGCAAUGUGUGGAUGACAGGAACAAAAUUUUGAAUAGCAAAUCAUCGCCCAGGCGCUUCUUGAUCCAGAAAAUGUUGUUCUUGGAUAGAGGCAGGGCCUAAGUGAUAAGUGUGUUUUUGCACACUUAUUUAUAUCAUAAACAUGACUUAAAUACAAGUAAAAGGAUUGAAUUGUUACUUAAUUUUGUCAAAUUCAUGCAAUGUAGGUGAUUUUAUGGAAAUAGUGAAAUUCAGGAGAAAAGAGCCGAAAAAGGACCAAAUUGGAGUAAAAUGAAAGUUCAGGGACCAAAUUACAAUUAUCUGAAAGUUGACCAGAUGAACAUCAAGCAAUUAGUCAAGCUAAGUACCAAUUGGAAGUUAUAAUGGAACAUUGGAGCAACUAGAAACAAGAGAGGAGGUCAAGGAGUGAAGGAAUGAAACUUGAGGAUCAAAAUGACUCAAAUUAGAAGUUCGCUCUACUAUGCGGUCGCAUAGUAUAAAACCUAUGCGGUCGCGGAUGACCCUCCAGGGAUUAAAAACGCCAUUUUUCAUAUACCUAUGCGGUCGCAUAGGUAUAACUUGUCCCCGAUUUUUGCAGUUUCCUUAUAUGAUUGUAACUCCUUUGGUAACCUAAUUUCGAUGGGUUUAAAUAGCAAAUAAACAUCCAGAAGCCGCAGGAACGAAUUGGGAGGCAAAAACAUUCAUCUUGGAGAGGAUUUGAAGGCAAGAACAAGAAUUGAUGCGAAGAUUUACAAGAUUUCUUCAAGUUUUGAUAACCCGGUGAUGUAUUUUAUUCAAAACUUGUUAGAUUUCGUUAUUUUAUAGGCUAGAUUUCUACAACUAGGUGAUGAUGAACCAUGUAAUUAUUAUUAAACUUGUUAUUUCAUGAUUUUGAAUUCAUAGUUCGAUGGAAUAUUUGAAUGGAUUAUAUUGCUUUAUUUAUUUCCACAAUUAACGUGCACUUAAUUUGUGUGAACUUGGUGGUUUAAUUCUGAAUUUGAGAAAAUUGGAUUAAACUCGACAUAUAUAAUUCAUCAUAGGGUCCGAUAGGGGAUAGAAAUAUACCACUAUACCCUAUGUAAAUCUUUAAUUGCUCACAAAAAGAUUAUAUGCGUUCUUGUAUAAUUGCAUCCGUUAUAGAGAUAUAGGCUGGUGAUUUAUGAGAAUAGGUUCAAUACAUCUCGAGAGAGAGUAUUGAAUAGAUUUAGGAGCAUUGAUUUGUCAAAUUCUUAUUGGAUUAUCAAAAUUGUGAAAUUAGGGUUUAAUUAGUAAUUAUUUGGGGAUUCGUGAUCCUAGUGCAUUUGUUUUACAUAGAUUUUCGUAAAUUGACAAUACAUUUCAUUUAUUUUCAUAAGAUUUCGUAAUUGAGUCAUUCAUUAAGUUGAUUUGAAAUUAGGGUUUUUCAAUUUGGGGAUUUCUCCCAAAAUUAGAGCUUUUGAUUCUAAAAUUCAUCUUAAUUCAAUUAGUUUCGGUUAAGGCUAAAAUAAAUAAAAUUGAACUACUCUUUCUCUGUGGGAUGAUACUCGGACUUUUAAAGUCCACUUUAUUACUUGUCACGAUCCGUACACUUGCGGUAAUUUAAAUCGAAAGAAAUAUUUCGCGAACACUAAGUGCCACUCAGAAUUCAAUCACGGCGUUUAGGUGUUGCUCUCUAGUGCUUAGGCAUCAUGCCGCAUGCUUUAGGGUUGCACCGUUUUGGCCCUUGAAAAGCCCAUAUUUCAAAUUUGGGAAAAACACAAGGGGGAGUAUAAAUAUAAGAAUGGAGACACUUAAAAGAGAUUCCACACAUUUAAAAGCACAAGAUACAAGUUGAGAAUUCGAGAGAAAAUCAAAAGGAAGAAAAAUCAAGAAAUUAAGAGCUAAAUCAAGAUUGGAGGCAAGAAGAGAACUUGGUGCAAGAUUCAUCCUUUUUUCUACAUCUCAAUUUAAAACUCGGCAAUGUACCCACUGCAAAUAUUUAGUUUUUUUUCCAUUAUUAUGAGUAGCUAAGUUUUCUAUUAGGGCAAACAAUAUAAUUUAUUGAGACCCUUUAUUUCUUUUAUUCUAGAUUCUUAUUCUUUUAUCUUACAGUGUUGAUUUUGCUAUGAGUUUAAUGCGUCGUAUUACUUGAUCACUAAUAUGAUGAUUUUGUAAAUCUUUUACGAAUCGAAAGGUGAGUUUGAGAUUUAUACCAUGUAGUAAAAUUCGGUAAAUUAAUAUAACUUGCAGAUAUAACUAUACUAAUUAUUACGGUCAUUAGAUGUAUUCUUAGAACUAAUAUCUUGUUUAAUUAAGGUUGAUUUGCAUAGAUUUAUGAAAUUGAAUUAGAGAGAUAAAUUGAAUAUAAUAGGAGAGUUCAAUUGAAUAUAAUAGGAGAGUUCGAUCGAACACUAUACUAGAUGAUGAAUCUUGAAUUACGAUUUAAAAGUUAUCAAUAGAUGAAAUUGUUGUGCCCUAAUAUCUAUUCCAUAUUUGAAUUCUAAAACUAUCUUGUGUGCAUCUAGCUAUAUUCAAGUAUUUAGAUCAAAAAUCACUUUUUUUCAUCAAAUAGGAAUUAGAAAUAUUAGAUUAAAUAUUAAUGUUUAGUUCUCAUGAAAACGAUAAUCCAAACUCAAAUAUCCACUAAAUUACUUGUUACGAUAUCGUACACCUGCAAUAGCAAAAAUUGACAACACGGACUGUCUCCUGUUAUGGAAAAAUCGUGCUUUUGGUGUGUGUAAUUUGAGAGAAUUGAAGGCCGCUGCUUCUUCUGUUUUCUCUAUGAAACCGUGAGUUAUUGAGCUUGCUUUCCUUUCCUAUCUAUCUCUUUGUGAGUUGUAACAAUCGCCACCCUCUUUUGUGGAAUACUCCUAUGUCGAUUUGAGUCCUUUGUGAGCUAGGAAAUAAAGGGCAACACAAGUGAUUUGGGUUUGAGCUUUGAUUGUUGGACUAACCUCGUGGUUGAUAAACUGACCUUGCUUUGCACCGUGAUUGAAGAUCAAUUGGGAGUGAUUUUAUCAACAAAAAAUGAACCUAAACAUCCUUCUUGAAUGGGACACACUAGCGCCAUAUAACCUUUUGAAACAUGGACGUAAAAUGGCUACAUCGCUCUCCGAAGUCUCCUCCAACCAAGGGUCCCAAUGUAAUCAAUUACAUGAAUAACAAUCGCCAACUCAACCUUGAAAGCAUAGCAGACACCUAGAGGGAUGGCAAAACAACCCUUGACAAAACCUCUGCAACUACUAACCACCUCUCCUCAACAAGAAGUGCCGGGAUACUAAAAGUCAACCUCUUCAUGUUAACCUUGUACCAACCUAGUUUAAUGGAAACUAGAUAACAUCCAAAUUAGGGAGAGCCAGAGGAGCAAACUAUAAACGUAAAGCCUAGAUCUGUAAUAGUCAUAAACUCAUCUAUCGAAGUCCUUGUCUUGUUAACAGGCUUCAUGUCGUCAAAGGUAUUCGAAACCAAACCACCCAAAAAUUGAAAUAGUGGAAACUCACUAGAGUUUUUCAAUUGUAUGUCUAUGUCAUGAAAGGUAUGAGUAUAAAAUUGGACGUGGGGUCGACACAUCCGACUAAUGCCGAGUGUUGAAUGUUGAAUAUUGUUAUAAUUUAACCAAUUUUUGACACUAAAUUUAGUGGGUCUAAAUAAUAACAGCCCGCUGAAUCUUGUUUUUCCGGAUAAUACACUAGAGUACUAAACUCACAUUAUUGAUUUAAUUUUUCUACUUAAGAAAUAAAGACUUACUAUCUUUGGAAUCUGAUUCUACACCGUUGCUUAAGACUUUAGUGGAUCGACUCUAUUGCAUAAGUUGAUUCCUAAUUUUAUCUCACAUUAUGAAUUGAUAUAUCCAGAAAUGAUAAGGAAAAAAGAUGAAUUUUUAAAUGUCAUUUCUUUUAUAGGAACGCAUAUUAUAAACUUGCAUCACGUGCAUAGGUUAAGUUACAUUUGCUCAUUUACAUUAUUCUCUUAUUUUCGUAUGAUAAUAUAUAGCUAAACAGUUUGAGGUGACUGCUUGGGAUGAGAUGAACUGAUUACUAUCCAUGUCUAAUAUUUUAUCACUUCUCAAUUAAAAUACUUUGAAUCUUUUCACAUUAUUAGAAUUGUUUUAAAAUAAAUCAUUUCACAAUAUGUAGUUUUCUCUUUGCAAUUUCUGUGAAAAGGAACUUUAGGAUUUUAUUAAUUUUGCAAAUUAUUGUGAGUUCAAUUAAAUUCACCGUUAUUAUGUUCAGAAAUUAAUUUUUUUCUACUUUUCCGCAUUUAUAAUUUUAAAUAGUAAUUAAAUAUUAACACUUCUAAAUCAAGAAUAUCUAGACUUGGGUGCUACACUAGGCAUCCUAGAGACGGAGGGAAAAUAUAUGUUGGGGUUAAAGGCUUAAAGGCCUAAAUAUUUUGUCCUAGUUACUGUAUUUUCCACAGAAAAACAAUAUCAUAUCUGUUAAUACUCUAAAAAAAAUAAAAAAAAUAGCAAGAAUCUUCAAUACAUUUUAUGUAUUGCAGUCUACUUGGCAUAAUGAAUAGACACAAACACAAAAUUGGACUCGAAUGGAUUGUAUCUUCAAGUUUAAUAUGUUUGUCAUCUCGUCUUUUGUCAAGAUGAAACAAAAAAUAAAUAAAAUGAAGAAGAAGAAGAAAGAGAAAGAGAAAAUUUAAUACUUUAAAAUCAGAAAAAAAAAAAGGAUAAAUAUUUUGUCUUCGAUUUUCUCCUUCCUUUGAUUACUUGAAUAAAUGUUGGAUCACAUGUCUAACAGAGUAUUCACAUCUAAAUGGAGCUUUAUAUAAUAUCUUUCUUUCUUUUUGUCAUAUCAACUUAACAAAGUUUUCGUAAGAUUAAUUGAAUAUGAUUUUUCAGAUAUGUCUAUUUCUAUUUACGUGACAAUUUUUUAAGCAAUUCACAUUGAAGAUGCUCUAAUCUAAUUAAAACACACCUAAUUAAUUUUAAUAAAAUAAUUGAAGAAACGCCUCCUAGUUUGUCAAUUACAAUAGAAAGAUCCUGUAAAUAGCUAUAAAAUAAAAUAUCAUAUACUAAUAAUAUAAUUACACUACUAUAGAAAUAAUAAAGAUUAAAGAGCUAGAAUUUAAAAAUAAAUGGAGAUCAUAUCAAUCUUUCCACAUUGUUUACAAAUUUAAAAUUUAAGUCAGAACUAAUGUUACUCAACAAAUUAAAAAUCGGGAAAAAAAAAGUUUAUUGUUAUACAAAAUUUGACCAUGCCUCAAUAAAAAAUAAAAAAAUGGAAAAAUCGACCAAACCAAUUUUUGACACGGGUAAUUGAUUUGGUUUUUCCAUGAUGAGUCAAUUCAGCCAUAUUUUGAAGCCUCAAUCCCCAGGUUAAUCGAAGAGACCCAACUUACAUGUUUAACUUUUUUUUAAGGAAAACAAAAAUCAAAUACAACACCAAACAACACAUAUACAUGCCUCAAUUUGUGAUAUGUCAAUGAUGGAAAUAUAAUCAUUCAAAUUUGGAAUUUGUUUUGAAAUAUCAGAACAUAGAAUGUGUGAAUCAUUGCACCAAUUUAUAUGCACAUCAAUCUCCUUUGUAGGGUUCAAUCUAUACUCCGUUGGUAUAUUUGGCAAGAUCUCUACCACUCUUACAUGUAAUGCAUAGACCGUCAUGCAUGCAUCUUUACGCUUAAGCUCCAAAUAGAAAUGUAGAGAGCCGUAAUUUUUUAUUCAGAUAGGGGACAUAUCUAUAUCAACAAUGUACUCAAUCUUCGAGAUUAUUAUAUUUGGAAAUAUUAUAUUUUAAGAAAUAGGUAGAUUCGAGAUUAUUUUACAUUUAAUCAAGUAUUUUUGGUUUUGUAAACGUAACAUAGUAAAUGAUGAAAUAAUUUUCAGUAAUGAUACAAUUACCAAAAUUUCCCAGGACUAAAUUUUUGCUACAAACUGGAAGUCCAAUUUACAUUUUGGGUGGGCUUUUGAAGUUCGGUCACAGUCCAGAAAGGCCAACUUGAAAAAGAUGAUUAUUGCUUGUCACUUUGUUUGCUGAAAAUGGUAAGGAGCACCAAAUAAAUAUGGGAAAAGCUCAUAUGUCAUCAUCUGGGUGCAUGAACAGGAUAGGCAUGAAAGAUAAGUGCAGUCAAUGGAGAUUAUAAUUAGGCUUUUGUGGUGCUUAAGAAGUUUCUUGAUCUUUAAUUAUCAACAAUCUUGACUUUACCAACAUUAUUGCCACUUGCCGAAUGCACCAAUAAUUGGCCAAACAUGCUCUUUUACCUUAAUUCAAUUCUAAGCACUCAAAAUGUUAAACUUAUUAUUAAGGGAAUAAUUUUAAUUAUGGAAACUUGGUGUAAGCAGUGUCAGCAUUAUUGACUGUUGAGAAUCUUUAAAAAUCAACUGUAUAAAUUCUUUCUCGAUCACUGGGCAAUUUGCAAAACGAAAGUGGUCAGUAAUUUGCAACCUCAUAUUAUUAUGAGAGUUGUCUCUUCUAACCUUUUUCUAACCAAAUUGCUCAUCCAUGAAUAUAUUGUGUUCGUGAGAUAAAAAUGCUUUUCCAUUCGGUUAUUUGGAUGACUAAAAUGUGGGCUUCAAAUCAUGAGCCUAGAGCUAGUAUAGCAAGUACUGUUGUUAAGACAUAUUUAGCCCUUGUUUGGUGUGGUUUAAAAUUAGAAUUUUAAUAGAUUUUGAUUAAAGUUGAUGAAAUGUAAAGUUUAAAAUUUUAUGGGUCUCAUGAAAUGUGUGGUUAAAAUUAAUUGCUGACUUUAACUUAGAUUAAAAUCUAGAUUUUAAUUUUCACCAAAUAGUGGCCUAAUGAAUUGUAGCAAUUGGAGAGAACAGAUUCAAUUUGCAUGCUCUCACAAUAAUGUAGUCUCUUUUUUUUUUUCUUUUUUAUCCACUUGAAAUUGUAUCGACAACGAACAUGAAAGCAUACCAUGAUUUUUGCCUUUGCUUUGUUUGGCAUUGCAUGAAGAAACUGUCAAGUGGUGGAGCUUAAUUAUUGUUGCUACGCAGAGUCCAUUAUUAAGGUUUAAAAUAUCAACGUAAUAAAUUACUAUAAGGUGAAAAAUGACAUAAUCUCAUAUUAAGGUGAACUUUCAUAAAUUAUUUUUAUGUACAUAUUUUCUUUUGGCCAUUUUAUUACUCUCAACAUUAUAGAGUUAAGAGUUUCUAAUUUCCAACACAAGCCAAAUUCUUUGCAAGAAAUUCGUGAACAAGCAUGCAAAACACUCCAAAAUCCUAUUUUAUGCACAUUUUGUUUAUUCUUGUUGGUAAUCACUUUUGAAGAAAAUGCCACUUCAGAUAGAGAUGCUGAUGAUCGAUGAAUUAGGGAUAAUUCCACAAAUUGUCAUCUUGUAUAUUUUCAUCAGCAGGUGUGUCUUCACCAGCAAGGUCAUGGCGCGGGGGGCUAAUAAGCAUUCCUUCAGCCAUGUUCUUAAGAACAUUAGGCAUAUCAAAGAUCAAAUCCUCGUCGAUGAACUCAUUAAUGUCCAAAUUUUCAGGUGGCAGCGCUGGAUUUUCUAUACUCCCAGUAGCAUCGGCCGUCGCUGCAGUUGCGGUGGCUGCACUAGCAGUAAGAUCAUAGCGCGGAGGGCUA
This 15956-nucleotide long non-coding RNA is filed under the name Olea europaea (common olive). Its description in RNAcentral is "long non-coding RNA (OEUR_LNC012183)". The record is from RNAcentral. Lineage: Eukaryota; Viridiplantae; Streptophyta; Magnoliopsida; Lamiales; Oleaceae.